GGGAUAAUACUUUAUAGGAUCAUUUCUGUAAUACAUUUUCGCAUACUCUCUACUCAAACGUAGAGUUGUCGUAACCACGAUGACGAGUUUGAGUUUUUUGUUCUGAGCGUGAGGCAGACUUUCAUUGAUCAUUCCAGAUCUUUGAAAACUGCCGUUGUACUUUCUAAAUAAUUAUUUAUAAAGUGUCAUAUGCAAUCUUGU
This is a small nucleolar RNA of Aethina tumida (small hive beetle), 201 nucleotides long. RefSeq annotates it as small nucleolar RNA U3. NCBI's taxonomy places the organism in Eukaryota, Metazoa, Arthropoda, Insecta, Coleoptera, Nitidulidae. The record is from RefSeq and is a predicted model, not a curated record. The transcript has a single exon.